This 483-nucleotide ribosomal RNA is filed under the name uncultured bacterium. RNAcentral's name for it is "bacterial SSU rRNA". It matches the Rfam family "Bacterial small subunit ribosomal RNA", at positions 30 to 507 of the family's 1533-position model. The record is from RNAcentral.
UUGAACGCUGGCGGCAUGCCUUACACAUGCAAGUCGAACGGCAGCACGGGAGCAAUCCUGGUGGCGAGUGGCGAACGGGUGAGUAAUAUAUCGGAACGUGCCCGGUCGUGGGGGAUAACGUAGCGAAAGCUACGCUAAUACCGCAUACGAUCUACGGAUGAAAGCGGGGGAUCGCAAGACCUCGCGCGAUUGGAGCGGCCGAUAUCAGAUUAGGUAGUUGGUGAGGUAAAGGCUCACCAAGCCGACGAUCUGUAGCUGGUCUGAGAGGACGACCAGCCACACUGGGACUGAGACACGGCCCAGACUCCUACGGGAGGCAGCAGUGGGGAAUUUUGGACAAUGGGCGCAAGCCUGAUCCAGCAAUGCCGCGUGCAGGAUGAAGGCCUUCGGGUUGUAAACUGCUUUUGUACGGAACGAAACGGUGAGCUCUAAUACAGUUUGCCAAUGACGGUACCGUAAGAAUAAGCACCGGCUAACUACGUG